This 468-nucleotide ribosomal RNA is filed under the name uncultured bacterium. RNAcentral's name for it is "partial 16S ribosomal RNA". It matches the Rfam family "Bacterial small subunit ribosomal RNA", at positions 28 to 507 of the family's 1533-position model. The record is from RNAcentral.
GACGAACGCUGGCGGCGUGCUUAACACAUGCAAGUCGAACGGAAAGGCCCUGCUUUUGUGGGGUGCUCGAGUGGCGAACGGGUGAGUAACACGUGAGUAACCUGCCCUUGACUUUGGGAUAACUUCAGGAAACUGGGGCUAAUACCGGAUAGGAGCUCCUGCUGCAUGGUGGGGGUUAGAAAGUUUCGGCGGUUGGGGAUGGACUCGCGGCUUAUCAGCUUGUUGGUGGGGUAGUGGCUUACCAAGGCUUUGACGGGUAGCCGGCCUGAGAGGGUGACCGGCCACAUUGGGACUGAGAUACGGCCCAGACUCCUACGGGAGGCAGCAGUGGGGAAUAUUGCACAAUGGGCGGAAGCCUGAUGCAGAAACGCCGCGUGCGGGAUGACGGCCUUCGGGUUGUAAACCGCUUUCGCCUGUGACGAAGCGUGAGUGACGGUAAUGGGUAAAGAAGCACCGGCUAACUACGUG